RNAcentral lists this long non-coding RNA (6746 nucleotides) under Homo sapiens (human). Its description in RNAcentral is "HSALNT0198915". Lineage: Eukaryota; Metazoa; Chordata; Mammalia; Primates; Hominidae. The record is from RNAcentral.
CAACCAUACAGACACAGGCCUGGAAGUGCUCGGAGGCUGUGCGUGUGCCAGAGAGCAGUCCUUGGGAACAGUUGAAGAAUAGCUCAUUCAGACAACAGGUAAUUGGUUGAAAUAGGUUUCUAAACGGCAUCAAAUCCAGAGUGAACUUAGUGGCUGGAGGGGGUGGGGGCAGGUUUUUUCCAGAAAACCUUUUAUUGAAAUAUACAUACAGAAAAGUACAAAGAUCACAAGUGUAUGGUUUGAUAAAUUCCCACCAAGUGAACCUGCCCAUGUAACCUGUACCUAUAGAUUUAAAAACAGAGCAGGGCCAAUACCCCAGAAGUCCCUUUCUACCCAACCCAGGUAACACCAUCCUGACUCCAAAAACCACAGUUAAGUGUUGCCUGUUUGGGGAUUUCAUGUAAAGAGAGUCGUACCGAAGUUCUCUGUUGUGUCUGUUGCUCUCAUUCAGUGUGAUGCAGGAGGGGCUCAUCCGUGUGGCUGCUCAUGAUUGUAGCUCAUUCAUUCACUCUCAUUGCUGAGUGGUAUUCCAUUGUGUGACUGCAGCACAUUUUAUAUGCCCAUUUUACUUUUUUUUUUUUUUUUUUGAGAGAGAGAGAGGGUCUCACUCUGUUGCCCAGGCUGGAGUGCAGUGGCAUAAUCACAGCUCACUGCCACUCUUUCUAACUCCUGUGCUCAAGCCCACCUCAGCCCCCAGAGUAACUGAGUCUACAGGUGCACCCCACCACACUCGGCUAAUUUUUUUUUUCAUUUUUUGUAGAGACAAGGUCUUGUUAUGUUGCUCAGGGAGGUGAGGUCUCAAACCCCUGGGCUCAAGUAAUCUUACUGCCUAAGCCUCCCAAAGUGCUGGGAUUACAGGCAUAAGCUAAUGUGCCUGGACUGCCCACUCUACUAUUAAUGGAUGCGUAUUUUGUUUACAAUGAGUAAAAUACACAUGCAUGUACUUUUAGUAUGUGCUCAGUUUUCGUUUAAUACAAAGUGUGAAUGGCCUUCUGGAACUUCUCAUGGGGCGGGGAAAUCUUGAACCGUAACACAGCUUGGUAUGCACACGUCACAUUGGGAAUCAGCUGGUUUCGCCUUCCCUGGUCUGAUGGCUUAGAUUGGUCUGGGCAGGAAAAGCCAGGCCAUACAUGUGGAAUUGGCAAAUUGCAAUGCACACAUUUCUGUUAUAUGCACAUCGGGAUCUGGGACAGGCUGGACACGAUGGGGUCUGCAAGGUUCUUUUUCUCUCUGAGUUAGGCAAGCCAUGAAUAUGAAAAGGGAAUGUUUGUAUAGUAUCGACUUUCACUUAAUGAAAAUAGAUACAAAUGCAGGGAGAGAAAGAGAUAACAUGCUACUAAAAUGCAGGCCAAUGACUCUUAAAAAUAUCACAGCUCCCAGCAAGUGGGUGGUAAAUGUGGCUGGCAGAGAUGACGUGUGUCUGGGGACAGGUGGAAUGCAGGGUUGAGGAGAGUGUUCAAUGCGGGCAGGACUGACGGGAGAAGGGUGCAGGCACUGGUGUUGCUGGGCUGAGCUGAGUCACUCAUUCCCCAAGGACCCUGUCUGCGAGCAGGAAGUGCCAGAUGGGGAGGCACUCAGCAAGUGGAUGAGGACAAGCAGCACCACUGCCAGCCCCUCUGCAGCAUGACUGCACCCCAAAGGGUGCUGCUGGAGGCUGGGGAGGGUUCACCUGAGCCUCCGUCUCUCCAUCUCUGGAAGCUCCCUCACCUUUCCAUGUAAUAAGCAGAGUGACUUCCCCAUUCCACGUGUGUUGCCCGGCUCUUCUGGCCCAGCCCAACCUCUGAGCCUCAGACCAGGAAAUGUGAAACCAGGUGAUGUGCACCUAUCAAGUUGUGUCAUGGUUCAAGACUUCCUCACUUCAUGAAAAGUUCCAUAAAGGCCCUCCUCAUUCUGUGUUAAAUGAAAAAUGAGCCAGUGUCCACAAGGAAGGGUGCCUCUUUUUAAAAAUAUUGCCAUGAUGGCUGGGCAAGGCGGCAUGCUCCUAUAGUGCCAGCUAUUCGGGAGGCUGAGGCGGGAGGAUGGCUUGACAACAGGAGUUUGAGGCUGCAGUGUGCUAUAAUGGUGUCUGUGAAUGGCCACUGCACUCCAACCAGGGCAGCAUGGCAAGACCCCAUCUCUCUCACACACACACACACACACACACACACACACACACACAGAGAUACACACACCCAGAGAUGUGUCUCACCCUCAGCUAAAUCCAAAUAUUCAUGGUGAUGUUAAUAUCACGCACUCAAAGUAGCCCAGAAAAGGGGAAGCAGCAGUCCCUGGAAGGUUAGGUGUUCUACUGAGAAGCCCCCAACUUUCCUCACACCCCACUUUAACCUUUCACUUUGCUUUUCUAGAUGAGAAUGGGCCUUGCAGCCACUGGGAAAGGCAGCAAAGCCCAAGAAAUUAAUAUCCCCAUGAAUAUCUGGAGUUGACUGAAGGUCAGAAGAAAUGGGUGGCAGAAGAAAGAGAAAAAGAAACAUUGACAGAUGGAAUCCCUGCCAGGCCACUUUCAGUAUCAAGAAAAGUGAUCAGGUGGCAGAGCAAUCCAUGGAGGCUUCAGACUGAUGCCCAGUGACAGCUGACUGCAAGCAAAGUCAAAGUGGUUAAGGCCACUUAAAUAUACUCCGUAUUCACGAGUCCAAAUUAAAUACUCCCUAUUCACAUCCAAUUUAAACCUGCAUCCCCUGCGUGGGCGGUGGAUGUAAACGCUGAGAAAGCCAAAGCUAAGUGUGGCCCCCUGCCAGGCCAGCUGCUCCCUCUGUUCUCAGCAGCUGCUACUGGACCUGGGAAGGUUCCAAUCUGCUCCCACUGGUGGGAAAGACCGCCCCGCUCCUGGCGUCGGGGAGGCCCUGGAGCUCUUCUUUCCUCCUGAAAGUCCACGCAGCACGGUCGCUGGGAAGGCAGGGAAGCCCAAGAAAAGCCCAUUCUGAUCUAGAAAAGCAAAGUGAAAGGUUAAGGUGGAUAUGAGGGAAGUUGAGGGCUUCUUAGUAGAACACCUAAUCUCCCAGGGAGCUGCUGUUCCCCCUUUCUGGGCUGCCUCGAGUGUGAUUGUUAAGUCAAAUUGGCCCCAUCCGCUCCUUGGCUGAAUUUGCCCGGAUUCUCUCUGGAACACAGGACUCAGCACCUCCACAGAUGCAUCUCCCCUGACAGUUCCAUCUGCACCUGAGCCCUUCGUCAAGUUAAUGGGUCACAGGCGCUCUAACUGGACUCAUGCUGCUGUGAAGCACUGCGCAUGUCUACCGCAGGAUACGGACCACCCUCGUAAAUAUCCCAGGCGAUGCUGAGGUACUAAUGAGCCUGCACUUGUGCCCUACACCCCUUUACUCUAGGGAGAAAAAAGACAUCUAACUCAUCCAAGUGGGCCUCCCAGCAAUAGCUCACCCAGUUAUUUUUUUAUGAGAUUGUUAUCACCAGCAGCCCCAAGAUUAAUAAAAAUGGAGAGUAAUAAAAGAAAUCACAGGGGAAACUGAUGCUAUCAACUAUGUAAUAAAAGAGAGGAAGCAGGCUUCGUUUGUAAUGACAAAUUCUCCUUGUCUCACCAAGCUCAGAAAUAAAGCCCCGAAAGAAGGGUGUAGUAGGGUGUAGUACGUGGCUUCAGAUGUGUGGACACACUAGCGCCAGGAAGCCAGCAGAGCCCCAGCCAAAUCCAAGUCCACAAAGCCAACUCGGAAGCAACGCACCAGCAUCCUGUCCUGUCUCCAGGCUCUCUGGGCGGGUUCUCCCUGAGCACUUCCAGAUGGCUUCUGUUUGCUCCUCUCUUCACUAGAUCUGCACAUGUGGCCAUGAGAAGGCAGCCGGGCUGGCGCUGGGUGAGGCUCAAGGGCAGUGGGAUAGGGGGAAGGAGGAGGGGAGGACAUGUGCAGGAGACUCCCGGGUCCCAGCUCUGUUCCUGUCUCCUGCCUGGGACCCUGAGCUCCGCAGCUGGGGUUUGUAUCAAGGAGAGCUUGCUCUCCACUGCAGAGUGAGAGGCUCACAGAAGAGCCACGACGUGGACUCCAGAGCAUGGUGGGGCCUCUGUGUCUCCCUCACUGCGCACAGGAAGGGAAGGAAAUGGAGGAGAAUCACCUUUCUCCUUUUCUACUCCACAAACGCUGACACCAAUCCUGACCUGGUUUUCCCAGCAACACAGAUGUGAUGAGGGAUUGCUUCGAGCUUGGGGUCAUCCCCGUAUUUUGAAAAGAGCCCUGUGCCACCUGCAGUGAUAAAAAGGACCACGGAGAUGUAGCCCCAGCCAAGGGGGCCAAACUUCAGGGAGAAUGCGGAAUCAACUCAGAUCCAAAUAAAUGUAGCCACCGCAGGGCUGCCCCCAGCUCUGAGCCCGUGGGCAUGUGUGCUGAGGGUGCAGGAGAGAGGAGAGAGGGGAUCCCUGCAGCGGGGCCCGAAGCACGCAACACUCCUUUGUCACCCAGCUUUGCGGAAGGGAAGGCCAGUCUAGAUCAGGAGAAUGGUCACAAGGGCAGGGUCUAGGAGGUGGUCAGUUAGUGAGGAGGAGGGAAAGCAACAGUGGCGUGGGACAGGCAGGGUCCCUGUGGGAACGGGCGUGAUGUGAGACACAGCACAGAGGGCUGGAACAGCAAGGGGACAAAGCACAUUCAGGACGCAGGGACUUUGUGGGGGCCAGGGCUUUCCCGUGAAACCUGGGAAGUUGAGGGGGUGUCAUCAAGGAUCACCAGGACCCUUCUCCAACUUUAAUUACUGAGGACUUUCCCAUGGUUAGCAAGAAAGCUAGGUGAUGCUGCUGGGGACAGCCAUCUUGCUUCUCCAACAGAUGCAGCGAACAGCUCGGGCUUAUCUCCGCUCCCGAGCAGACACAUAGUGGGAGAAAGGGGGAGAACACAUGGCAAAGGGAGAACUUCAGAGCAGGAUGCAUCCCUAAGCCCCAGCUGCCAGGACUGGGACCAGGAGUCCCCAAGGACUGCAGCCGUGACUCAUCCAGGCCUCGGUACCCUCCCAUCUCUGAGGUUUUCUGCUGUGGCUCUGGGGCUCUUGUGCCCAGUGUCGCUUUGGGGCUUUCUCCUGGUGGAGACUUGGGACACUCAGUGUCGGAGCCUCCCAGCAGCAUGAGGAACGGGGUGCAAACAACGCAGACGACCCAGCUCCCCAAGAGGGGUCUGACUCCUGCAUCCAGUGAGGGCUGAGUCAGAGCCAAGCGGAGCCUAUCAGUGCACAAUCCAAACACCAGCCAAGGCCCCGUGGCCAGGCCAGUCAUAAACCCACGGCCACAAAAACAGGCCAGAGAGCCCAGGAAUACAGCCCUGCCCGGGUAAUGAUUAACUGGCAUCCAGGGGUCCUGGAGGUCAGAGCGAUAAUGAGAAAGUUUCCCUGAACUCUCUCAAGUGCAGAGGGCCUGGGGAGGGGCCCUGCUGGCGCCGAUUCCUGGGCAAACACUUCCUGCCCCUCUCUUUUCAACGACCAAACAGCCUCAGCCCCUCUCACCUCCUUCCUGAGAACUGGGGAACUGACAUCACAAACGCAGGGCCUCAGGGCCCUGGUAAAAUCCACUGGGAAUAGCCAACGAGGGCAUCUUCCCAGGAGGCUGAAUUUCCUCAAACACGAGGCUGAUAAGCCCUUUCAAGAAGACAGGGCUUCAUGCUUAUCUUUAUUGUCUGGCAUGUCCUGAGACAUGGGAGCCACUCUGUUUGAGUGAAACUAGAAUAUUAUGUUCAGCGAGACUUUCUGCUUUCUGAUUUUUCUAGUGCUUUUGUAUCUUGCAGUGGAAUUCUCCAGCAACUUUCUUCUGAAAUUCCCAAACAACUUCCAGUGCAGAACUCCUGCCUCGGUUUAAGUUAAGGAGGUUUGCUAAGGCCCCGCUAUGUGUCUAGUUGGGGUGCUUUGCACAGAGUGAAAAAUAAUUCCCUCACCGGGAAGGCAAAGCUAACCUAGAGGAAAACAUAACAAUGGAAAAAUCUUUAAGGUGAAAGGUCUCCAAAGUUUCUCUGUGUUCUAGGAAAUCAUAAUGUCAGCUAAGGAUUAAAGAGGUCUGUCCCCUCAACUUGCAGAGAUAAUUGAAGGAAUAAAUGACUGGACAGGGCUCGGUGGCUCAUGCUUGUAAUCCCAGCACUUUGGGAGGCCAAGGCAGGAAGAUCUCUCAGACCAGCCUGAGCAACAUAGGUAGACCUCGUCUCUACAAAAGAAACAAAUGAACAAAACAUUAGCCAAGAGUGGUGGCACAUGCCUGUGGUCCCAGUUACUCAGGAGGCUGAGGUGGGAGGAUCACUUGAGCCCAAAAAGUCAAGGCUGCAAUGAGCCAUGAUCACUCCACUGUACUCCUGCCUGAGUGACAGAACAAAAACCCUGUCUCAAAAAAUAAAAUAAAAUAAAUGUAAAAAAAUUAAAAAUAAAUGAUUCACUUGAGGAUAUGUGGUUGUCAGUGAUCAAGAUGGCGCCAUGUUAAGGCUGGGCACAGUGGCUCACACCUGUGAUCCUAGCACUUUGGGAGGCCAAGGAGGGCGAAUUGCUUGAGUCUAGGAGUUCAAGACCAGCCUUGGCAACGUGGCUAAACCCCAUUGCUACAAAAAUAUAUAUAUACAAAAAAUUAGCUGGGAGCGGUUGGCACAUGCCUGUAGUCCCAACUACUCAGGAAGCCGAGGUGGGAGAAUUGCUUGAGUCUGGGGAGCAGAGGUUGCAGUGAGCUAAGGUCAUGCCACUGUACUCCAGCCUGACAGAGCAAGACCCUGUCCCCCCACAAAAAAAAGCAUCAUGAGCAACUCUCCCAAGGCUGGCCCCUGCACAUGUCUUCCCAUCCACCAAUAGAG